AAGGAAAGAGAAAGCAAAGAUAGAGAGAACUUCCUCAUUGUGUUUGUGAGUUUGGUGAAUGAAUUGGUGAAGAGAAGAACCUGUGGAGUGGUGAUUUAUAGUAAGAAGAGAAGAGUGAGGAAGGGACACGUCACACAGUGUAGGUUGCUAGUUCAUGACAUUCUUCACCAUGCAUGCCUAUGAAUUCUUAAUUUCCUACACAUCACAUUAAGAUAUAUGUGCACAGAGACAUCACAGAGUGUAUAUUUGUUGGUAUCUUUACAUAUGGAAUCAUGACUGCAGUUAAAUGAAUGAGAACAAAUGUAUAUGGCAUGGGAUGGUCCCAUGCAUUCUGCGUCGAUUCUUUACAUGUUGAUAUCAUUACUUCUUUUUCACUUUACUUAAUUCAUUUACAGUUUUCAUUAAGCAGUAACAGUGUUGCUCAGACUCAAAUAUAUAGAUGUAUGUAGUGAUUAAAGUAGAAAUUCUAGCUUAAUAGUACCUCUCUUUGUUAUUAUCAAUCUGUAGCCUUCGCAACAGAAACAGCAUAACUUAAGCGUAAAACAUUUUUACUCAUGCAUCAAAAUAGAAAUAUUUUAAAAUCUAACUUAUAAAAGUAUGAUAUAGUUUGAUUGCAUGCGUUUGUAAAAAAUUUUUUUUACACCAUCAGUGCAUAUAUAACUUAAUCUCUUAAAAUUUAUGCUCUGAAAGUUCAGUAUUUACCUUCCAGUUGUUUGAAUUCAAGUAAGCUCUAGAGAAUUCAGGUUGAUUGUUGUCAUUGAUGUUUAAAUCAAUGCAGUGCAUUUGGUGCAUAUUUGGAUUCCCUUUUGUAAGAUCCAAAAAUAUUCUAGACACAUAAAUUAAAAUUGCUUGAUAUAUUUAAGCGUUCUAUAAAAUAAAUUCUAGCUCAAAUAUGUAAUUAGAUGUUUUGCCUCUUUAUAAGAUUUUUAACUUCAAAUUAUUGUUGAACACAUUUAUGUAAAUGUAUAUAAACAUAGACCAAUGUACAUUCAACUCAUGACUUUAAAGUUUUAACUAAAAUUCAUUUUCACCACCACAAAACCAAACAUGCUAGAAAAUACUGGGUGGACUCACCAGAUGUACAUAGAUGUAUAAAAUAAAAUUCAAAAACUCAAUUUCUAACAUACCUUUACCUUUAAAAACACAUGAUAAUCCAAAAAUUUCCAUGUCUACAUUUUUGUGUCCUUUCUGCACUCACUGCAUACUAAUUUCUAUUCAAAACUAUAAGACAACUGAACAAAUAUAUGUAAAUAAAAAAACAACCUUCUACGUGUAUUGUUGUUGCUUCUCCUGUUGUUUUAAUCUAUUUGCAACUGUAUCAGGACUAAACUCAUGUUCAUUCUCUUCUUCGUCAUGUUCCGAACAAACCUCUUGCAACAAUUCAUCCACCUCCCUUACAAAGUUCACUCUUAAUAGAGUAUUAUCAUCAGAGUUCAAGUGGUGGUCGCAAUGGCCUGUGAUGCUGAUAGCAUACAACAUUGAAAACAAAAAAAUUAUGAUUCAAGCAGAUAUCAAGUCUAACAUAUGAUUUUCAGUUUAGAUGGUAUCUGUACCAUCCUACUUUUAUGUUUUAACUAAACUUAAGUGCAAAAUAAAUUACCAAUUACGUUUAAUCACUUAAUAUCAACCGAUAAAUACAUAAACUUGAAUCAAGUUUACCAACUUAUAUCAAUGGUUGAUUUCAAUUUUUACUGUGAACUUAUUUUUGUUAACCAUUGAUUAAUUAGUUAUUUAAAUAUAGAUUUGUAUGUCGAACUAAGGUAUCAGUUAUUAUAGAGAAAGAGACACAAACUAAUAGGAGCUAAUGUACAUCAAUUGUCUAAGAUCCAGUCCUUUUAAUUUGGUGCAACUUACCUUAUCUAUUGAGGCAAUCUCAUUGCAGGGGUAGCCUCUCGUUUGAAAAUCUCAGUCUGUUAUAUGCAAAUUUUUAAUAACAAAGUUUCGAGCGAACUAGGUUCAUUUUUUUCAAAGAUCGAGAACAAGCCAGAAGUUCGAAGACUGCUAUUUCGAAGAUUUUCAAAAAUCAACGUCUAGGGUUAUUCGAAAGUCCAAGUUACACAACUUCUAUAAACUUUCAUAUCAACUAUGUUCAGGAAGUCUUUUGAGCAAUCAGUUAUAUGCUUCUCCGAGUCAAAAAUUCAAAUAUGAAAGAAGAAACUUGCAGAAGGCUCUUGGAAGUUAGAAGACACGUGACAUCCACACAUGUUACAGAUUAAUUUAUUUCUUAGUCCAUAAAUUGUAUAAUCAAACUCCAUGUAAAUGAGUUCAUUUAUAUUCCACAACACUAUGUCUAAUAGACAGCGCAUCUGCCCUCACGGGAUAACUUCUUACUGACAAUAUUGAAUCAUUGAUGUAUGAAACAUUCAAACCUAUUAAUAUAUUUUUCUUUUUGCAUACUUAGUGCCUUUACCAUUUUUUGUGUCCAUUCAUUUAUUCGAUUUCUAACUAUGCACUAGUUAUUUGAUGCGGAAACUAGAUAUAGUGCUACUGGAAAGCUAUGUUAAGCUUUAUAUUACUCCAGCACAACUGAAAUAUUACCUGAAACCUUUCAAGGUGAUUGUAAUUUCUUAUUAGGAUGUAAUAGAACACUUGUUAUCAAAAACCUUUUCUGCAUAGUAGAGUGGGCAAAUGAGCACUAGCGUUAACUGAACUUUCAUUGACUUUUGUUUCGUUAAAAGCAAUGAAAGCCAAAGUAAUUGUUGAUUUCUUUGCUAACUAUUUUGUUGAUAGUGAUGAUGAUUUCGAACAAGAAUACAUAUGUUUGAAUCCUUGGAAACUAUAUUUUGAUGUUUCAUGCCAUGGUAAAGGUAGUAGAAAUUGAGAUGUUGAUAAUUCAACCUGAUGAGGUAUAUCCAACUAAAUUCAUGUACAAAUUAUCGAUCAAAUGUUUGAAUAAUGAAGCAUUUAUAUUUCAACCUAAAAAAUGUUUUCAAUAAUAAUAAUACCAAAUAGUUUUUUUUCUUCUUUCUAUUUCAACUUUUUCCAAUUUGUGAGUGUGCCUAAACCAUUUAUAUUUAUGGUUGUGACCAUACAAGCAUUACUCAACCCAUAUAUACAUAACAUAUGAGAAAAUAUUCAAUCUCCUCCCGUUCUCUCAUAUUGUCGCCAAAUUGUCCAAUUUUCUAACAUUCUUGUCUUUUCUUAUCAUUCAUAUAUUGGAUCCAAACAAAACAAUUAACUUUGCUACCGGCAUUAAUCAAAUAAAAAAUGAAUGUUUUGAGGACAACAUGCAGAAGAAGAACAAGAAGUCGUUCGCUUAGUAUACAAGUAAAGAACAACAUGCAGAUAGGAAUGACUUUAUGAACUUUUAUCUUGUUUUUAUGGGUGUGAUUUAAAUGCUAAAAGUCAAAACUCACCAUAAACGAUGAAGAUGACGAAGAAGAAAGUUUAGAAAAAUGUGUCUGCAUUUUUUUUUAUCAUAAUUGGAAGGUGUAUUACUGGCAUGAAUGCAGCCUAUAGUGUUAUUCACCACUUGUACAUACAUGUAUACUAGUAGUUUAGAUUAAGAUCCUGGUUAGAGAUAUCGUCUACAAGAUAUAAAUAAUGUUCAAGUGAAGAAUAAAAUUGUAAUUAAAAGCAAAGCAAAUACUACGUCAAAACUUGGGUAUUCAUUAUAUUGAUUAUUUCAAGAACUGAAGUUCUUGGCUACAGUACACCCAAAUUUAUUUUAUAAUUAUUUCAAGACAAGCCACCUCAUAUUGCAUUGCAUAGCAUGCAUUGUUUUAUUGAGAUUGUGAUUGUUUUACUAAGAUUGUGGUUGAGAUUGAGGAUGAACCAAAGGACCACGGUUUCCACUGAACUUGAUUUGAGUGACAUCACGUGGACGAAGGCCGAAAGCAUUUUCAAGAACCUCGCGAGGGGUGGCCCUGAACACCUGCUUCACAUGGUUAACAGCAGCUAGGUCGUUUGUCUUGAAAACCACAUACUCUAAUGCUUCUUCGUUCCCUGCUUGUUCCGCCACCACGAAGUUUUGUGGCACCACCAACAACUGUCCCCUUCUUACAUUGUCAUCGAACACCGCGUUGCCUUGGCAGUUCACUAUCCUAACUCUUCCUUGUCCUCUAAUCACGUACAAAAGGCUGUUGGCGUUGAUGUUCCAGUGUGGAGCAUAUAUGCCAUUCUGUAAAUCAUGGAAAUGUACACAUUGAUUAAAUAAUUAGUACUAUAUAUUUAAACCAAGUACAUUUUGACUUUUGCUUAAAUUUAAGACGGAGUAGUACUAUCAUACCCUGUAGAGGAGAACAUAUUCAGCACUGAGGCGUAAAUUGCGAAGGAUUGGGAGGGUUAAACUGUUAGCAUCGCUGAUGCGACCUGCACGUGGGUUGUAGAGAUCUGCACGUGCAGGGCGAGCGAUGUUCUCCACAAUCCUUAAACUGCAGAUAGUUUCUUCCAAACCAUUUUGACUAUGUCCGCUGUGUCUUGGGUCUCGUUCUCUUUCUUCCUGGCCAUGUCCGGGACGUCUUGGAUCCCAUUCUCUUUCUUUCUGACUAUGUCCGGGACGUCUUGGGUCUCGUUCUCUUUCUUCCUGGCUAUGUCUGGGAUAUCUUGUUUCCCAUUGUUCUUCCUCACUAGGUUUCUGAUGCCCUGGUCUACGAAUGUGUCUUGGUCUCCGUUCAUCUUCUUCCUCCUCGUGACUUCUUUCGUAUUCUUCAUCUUCUUGCUGCCACUCAGGGCUGAUGAUGCUGAGACCGCCCUCUACUCUCACGAUUUGGCUCCUCUGGUCGCGUGGAGAUUGAAGUCUCUUAGCUGUAUCCUGAUCCGUGUUGAGUGCCUGCGCUAAAAACUCUGAGCUGAAACCACUCAGCACACUGCUACCUUCGUUUUGUUCCUCAGAUCCCUCCUCUUGUUGUUGGCGUCCUCCUCUACGUCCGGGGAAACUGGGCCUCUGUUGCUGUCGUCCUUGUUGUCGCUCUUGAGUUUCAGGGAACUCGACCUCUGGGUUUCCGCCAAGGUAAAAUACCUGCCAACACAAUUUACAUGUGAUUAAUUGAGUUGAAAAAUUUAUAAACAUUAGUAAACUGUAUAAAGGUUUUAUAAGUCUCUGCAACAGCAUCAUAAAAGUAAAAUCUAUAACACAUAAUUUAAUGUAUAGUUAUACUUAUACUUACUCUGGGGGUUGAAUCGAGCUGGUUUACAAAGUUGGAGGUGUCAAGAAGACUAAUGGCAACAAGAGGUUCUUGACCAUGGUUAUAGGUCCAGUAAGGAGUUCCAGCUGGAAUGGCAAUGACAUCACCUCUGUAGAAGCGACGAAUCUUCUGGUGGCUGUCAGGUUGCUGCUGUUGUUCUUGAUGCCUGGAUUCUUGUCUAGACCGUGAUGAUCGUGGCUGUUCAAAAGUCUCAGGACAGCCAGGAACUGAAAGUCCAAGUACUCCCUUUCCUGUACAUAUAGAAGAACAAUAUUCAGUUACAAAACAAUUCAAUACAUUUACAAAUAAUCAAUUGUUUAAGCUCUUGAUAGAACCUUGGAUGAUGAAAAUCAACUGUGGAGAGGGUGAGUAUGAUGGCAAGUGAAGGCCAUUAGGGUCAAUGGUGCGUCUGAUAAGAGAGACACCGGCACAUUGUAGCUCAGGGUGGUUUGGAUUCCAUGUCUCAGUGAGACCAGCUUCAUGCUCAACACGGUGGUCUGGUUCCAAUGCAUUGAUAUUGUUCAGCUGGCAUUGGUUGAACCUUUCAUACUCAGAGCGUGUAGCUAAACAUGUAAAAAGCAGCAAGGAAAGAGAAAGCAAAGAUAGAGAGAACUUCCUCAUUGUGUUUGUGAGUUUGGUGAACGAAUUGGUGAAGAGAAGAACCUGUGGAGUGGUGAUUUAUAGUAAGAAGAGAAGCGUGAGAAAGGGACACGUCACACAGUGUAGGUUGCUAGUUCAUGACAUUCUUCACCAUGCAUGCCUAUGAAUUCUUAAUUUCCUACACAUCACAUUAUGAUAGAUAUGUGCAGAGACAUCACAGAGGGUAUAUUUGUUGCUAUCUUCACAUAUGGAAUCCUGACUGCAGUUAAAUGAAUGAGAACAAAUAUAUAUGGCAUGGGAUGGUCCCAUGCAUUCUGCGUCGAUUCUUUACAUGUUGAUAUCAUUACUUCUUUUUCACUCUACUUUAUUCAUUUACAGUUUUCAUUAAGCCGUAACAGUGUUGCUCAGACUCAAAUAUAUAGAUGUAUGGAGUAAUUAAAGUAGAAAUUCUAGCUUAUAGUACCUCUCUUGGUUAUUAUCAAACUGAAGCCUUCACACCAGAAACAACCUAACUCAAAGGUUAAAACAUUGUUACUCAUGCAUCCAAUCAAAUCGCGUCAAAUAUAGUUAUUUAUAUAAAUGUUUUAAAAUCUACCUUAUAAAAGUACCAUGAUUAUAUGACAUGGUUUGAUUGCAUGCAUUUGUAAAAAAGAAAAUUACCCCAUCAGAGCAUAUGUAACUUAAACUCUUAAAAUUUAUGCUCUGAAAGUUCAAUAUUUACCUUCCAGUUAUUUGAAUUCAACUAAGUUCUAGAGAAUUCAGGUUGAUUGUUUCCAUUGAUGUUUAAAUCAAUUUAGUGUUUUUAGUGCAUGUUUGAAUUCCCUUUUGUAAGAUCCAAAAAUAUUCUAGACACAUGAAUUAAAAUUGCCUGAUAUAUUUAAGUGUUCUAUAAAAUAAAUUCUAACUCAAAUAUGUAAUUAGAUGUUUUGCCUCUUUAUAAGAUUUUUAACUUAAAUUUUUUGAUGAACACAUUUAUGUAAAAAUAUAUAUAAACAGAAACCAAUGUACAUUCAACUCAUGACUUUUAAGUUUUAACUAAAAUUCACUUUCACCACCACAAAAUCAAACAUACUUGAAAAUACUGGACUCACCGGAUGUACAUAGAUGUAUAAAAUAAAAUUCAAAAACUCAAUUUCUAACAUAAAGACCUUUAAAAACACAUGAUAAUCCAAAAUUUCCAUGUCUACAUUUUUGUGUCUUUUCUGUUGGUACUAAUAAUCUAGCAGAGCUUCUACGUGUAGUGUUUGCUGCUUCUCCUGUUGUAUUAAUCUAUUUGCAACUGUAUCAGGAUUAAUCUCAUAGCAGGGGUAGCCUCUCGUUUCAAAAUUGAGAAUAAGCCAAAAGUUCGAAGACUACUAUUUCGAAAAAGAUUUUCAAAAAUCAACGUCUAGGGUUAUUCGAAAGUCCAAGUUACACAACUUCUAUAAACUUACAUAUCAAGUGUGUUCAAGAAGUCUUUUGAGCAAUCAGUUAUAUGCUUCUCUGCGUCAAAGAUUCAAAUAUGAAAGAAGAAAAUUGCAGAAGGCUCUUGGAAGUUAGAAGACACAUGACAUCGACAUGUGUUAGAGAUUAAUUUAUUUCUUAGUCUAUAAAUUGUAUAAUCAAACUCCAUGUAAAUGAGUUCAUUUCUGUUUCACAAAGCUAUGCCUAACAGAUAAGGCAUCCGCCCUCACGGGAUAACUUCUUCCUGACAAUAUUAAAUCAGUGAUGUAUGAAACAAUCAAACCUAUCUAUAUUAAUAUAUUUUUCUUUUUGCAUACUUGGUGCCUUUACUAUUUUUUACGUCCAUACAUUUAUUUGAUUUCUUCUAACUGUGCACUAAAAUAGAUACAGUGCUACUGGAAAGCUAUGUUAAGCUUUAUAUUACUCGAACACAACUGAAUUAUUACCUAAAACCUUUCGAGGGGAUUGUAACUUCUCAAUAUGAUCUAAUAAAACACUUGUUCUCAAAAACCAUUUCUGCAUAGUAGAGUGGGCAAAGGAGCACUAGCGUUAACUGAACCUUCAUUGACUUAUGUUUCGUUAAAAGCAAUGAAAGCCAAAAUAAUUGUUGAUUUCUUAGCUAACUAUUUUGUUGAUAGUGAUGAUGAUUUCAAACAAGAUUACAUAAGUUUGAGUCCUUGGAAACUAUAUUUUGAUGGUAAAGGUAGUAGAAAUUGAGAUGUUGAUAAUUCAACCUAACGAGGUAUAUCCAACUAAAUUCAUGUACAAAUUAUCGAUCAAAUGUUCGAAUAAUGAAGCAUUUAUAUUUGAACCUAAGAAAUACUUUCAACAACAAUAAUAAUAAAUUGAUUUUUUUUUUUAAUUCCAAACUCUUUUUCCAUUUGUGAGUUUGUCAAACCAUUUAUAUUUAUAGUUGGGACCAUCCAAGCAUUACUCAACCGACCCAUAUAUACAUAACAUAUGAGAAAAUAUUCAAUCUCCUCCUGUUCUCUGCAUUUUUUUUUUAUCACAAUUGGAAGGUGUAUUACUGGCAUGAAUGCAUCCUACAGUGUUAUUCUCGCCACUUGUACAUACAUGUAAACUAGUAGUUUAGAUUAAGAUCCAUGUUAGAGAUAUCGUCUACAAGAUAUAUAAUGUUCAUAUUAUAAAUUAAAGAGUUUAAAUGAAAAAUAAAAUUGAAAUUAAAAGCAAAGCAAAUACUACGUCAAAACUUUUUCAUUUAUAUUAAUUAUUUCAAGAACUGAAGUUCUUGGCUACAGUACAUCAUGCCACCUCAUUAUUGCAUUGCAUAGCAUGCAUUGUUUUAUUGAUAUUGUGAUUGUUUUACUGAGAUUGUGGUUGAGAUUGAGGGUGAACUAGAGGACCACGGUUUCCACUGAACUUGAUUUGAGUGACAUCACGUGGACGAAGGCCAAAAACAUUUGAAAGAACCUCAGCAGGGGUGGCCCUGAAUACCUGCUUCACAUGGCUAACAGCAGCUAAGUCGUUUGUCUUGAACACCACAUACUCAAAUGCUUCUUCAUUUCCGGCUUGUUGCGCCACCACAAAGUUUUGUGGCACCACCAACAACUGUCCUCUUCUUACAUUGUCGUCGAACACUGCGUUACCUUGGCAGUUCACUAUCCUAACUCUUCCUUGUCCUCUUAUCACGUACAAUAGGCUGUUGGCGUUGAUGUUCCAGUGUGGAGCAUAUAUACCAUUCUGCAUAGUACAUGUUAUUGAUUAGUUCAUUAAAUUUCAUUAAUUUAACUUAUCACAUCAUAGAAAUGUACACAUUGGUUAAAUAAUUAGUUUUAUGCAUACCCUGUAGAGGAGAACAUAUUCGGCACUGAGGCGUAAAUUGCGGAGGAUUGGGAGGGUUAAACUGUUAACAUCACUGAUGCGACCUGCACGUGGGUUGUAGAGAUCUGCAUGUGCAGGGCGAGCGAUGUUCUCCACAAGUCUUGCACUGCAGAUAGUUUCUUCCAAACCAUUCUGUCCACGUGUUCUUUGUUUCUCUCUGCUUUCUUUUUCCCACCAUGGACGACCACGACCGUAGGGAUCAUCUUCUCGCUCUCUUUCUUCCUGACUAUGUCUGGGAUGUCUUGGGUCUCGCUCUCUUUCUUCCUGGCUAUGUCCGGGAUGUCUUGGAUCCCAUUCUCUUUCUUCCUGACUAUGUCCGGGAUGUCUUGGGUCCCGCUCUCUUUCUUCUUGACUAUGUUCUCGUCUAAGAAGGUGUCUUGAUCUCCCUUCAUCUUCUUCCUCCUCGGGACUUCUUUCAUAUUCUUCAUCUUCUUGCUGCCACUCAGGACUGAUGAUGCUGAGACCGCCCUCUACUCUCACGAUUUGGCUCCUCUGGUCGCGUGGGGAUUGUAGUCUCUUAGCUGUAUCCUGAUCCGUGUUGAGAGCCUGCGCUAAAAACUCUGAGCUGAAACCACUCAGCACGCUGCUACCUUCAUUUUGUUCCUCAGAUCCCUCCUCUUGUUGGUGGCGUCCUCCUCUACGUCCGGGGAAACUGGGCCUUUGUUGAUGUCGUCCUUGUUGUCUCUCUUGAGUUUCAGGGAACUCGACCUCUGGGUUUCCGCCAAGGUAAAAUACCUGCCAACGCAUAUUUACAUGUGAUUAAUUGAGUUGAAAAUUUUAUAAGUUAGUAAAGUGUAUAAUAGUUCUAAAUUGCAAUCCGCAGUCAUAAACACCGGCAUCAUAAAAGUACAAUUUAUAACACAUAAUUAUAAUUAUACUUAUACUUACUCUGGGGGUUGAAUCGAGCUGGUUUACAAAGUUGGAGGUGUCGAGAAGACUAAUAGCAACAAUAGGUUCUUGACCAUGGUUAUAUGUCCAGUAAGGAGUUCCAGCUGGAAUGGCAAUGACAUCACCUCUGUAGAAGCGACGAAUCUUCUGGUGGCUGUCAGGUUGCUGCUGCUGUUGUUCCUGAUGCCUGGAUCCUUGUCUAGACCGUGAUGAUUGUGGCUGUUCAAAAGUCUCAGGACAACCAGGAACUGAAAGUCCAAGCACUCCCUUUCCUGUACAUAUAGAACAAAAUUCAGUCACAAAACAAUUUAAUGCAUGCAUUAUAUAGAAUACUUAGCAAUUAAUAUACUUAAUCAUCAUUAUGUUAAUAUAGAAUAGUUACCUUGGAUGAUGAAAAUCAAUUGUGGAGAGGGUGAGUAUGAUGGCAAGUGAAGGCCAUUAGGGUCAAUGGUGCGUCUGAUAAGGGAGACACCGGCACAUUGUAGCUCAGGGUGGUUUGGAUUCCAUGUCUCAGUGAGACCAGCUUCAUGCUCAACACGGUGGUCUGGUUCCAAUGCAUUGAUAUUGUUCAGCUGACAUUGGUUGAACCUAUCAAACUCAGAGCGAGUAGCUAAACAUGUAAAAAGUAGCAAGGAAAGAGAAAGCAAAGAUAGAGAGAACUUCCUCAUUGUGUUUGUGAGUUUGGUGAAUGAAUUGGUGAAGAGAAGAACCUGUGGAGUGGUGAUUUAUAGUAAGAAGAGAAGCGUGAGAAAGGGACACGUCACACAGUGUAGGUUGCUAAGUUCAUGACAUUCUUCACCAUGCAUGCCUAUGAAUUCUUAAUUUCCUACACAUCACAUUAUUAUAUAUAUCCACUUUGUUGGUAUCCUGAAUGCAGUUUAAAUAAAUCAGACAUGGCAAUAUGGAAUGGUCCCCAUGCAC
This 10820-nucleotide long non-coding RNA is filed under the name Medicago truncatula (barrel medic). Its description in RNAcentral is "long non-coding RNA (MTRU_LNC005039)". The record is from RNAcentral. Lineage: Eukaryota; Viridiplantae; Streptophyta; Magnoliopsida; Fabales; Fabaceae.